UCCCAUAAACCGUGGCUCAGUUCAGAUCGUAGGCUGCAACUCGCCUACGUGAAGUAGGAAUCGCUAGUAAUCGCAGGUCAGCAUACUGCGGUGAAUACGUUCCCGGGCCUUGUACACACCGCCCGUCACACCAUGGAAGUUGGCCAUGCCCGAAGUCGUUACUCCAACCCUUGUGGAGGAGGACGCCGAAGGUGGGGCUAAUGACUGGGGUGAAGUCGUAACAAGGUAGCCGUACCGGAAGGUGCGGCUGGAUCACCUCCUAA
This 263-nucleotide ribosomal RNA is filed under the name uncultured Synechococcus sp. RNAcentral describes it as "partial 16S ribosomal RNA". It matches the Rfam family "Bacterial small subunit ribosomal RNA", at positions 1272 to 1533 of the family's 1533-position model. The record is from RNAcentral. Lineage: Bacteria; Bacillati; Cyanobacteriota; Cyanophyceae; Synechococcales; Synechococcaceae.